Molecule: ribosomal RNA, 253 nt
Filed under: uncultured bacterium
Lineage: Bacteria
Description: partial 16S ribosomal RNA
Rfam family: Bacterial small subunit ribosomal RNA
Source: RNAcentral
UACGUAGGGUGCAAGCGUUAAUCGGAAUUACUGGGCGUAAAGCGUGCGCAGGCGGUUUUGUAAGUCUGACGUGAAAUCCCCGGGCUCAACCUGGGAAUUGCAUUGGAGACUGCAAGGCUAGAAUCUGGCAGAGGGGGGUAGAAUUCCACGUGUAGCAGUGAAAUGCGUAGAGAUGUGGAGGAACACCGAUGGCGACGGCAGCCCCCUGGGUCAAGAUUGACGCUCAUGCACGAAAGCGUGGGGAGCAAACAGG